This 25-nucleotide non-coding RNA is filed under the name Rattus norvegicus (Norway rat). The record is from RNAcentral. Lineage: Eukaryota; Metazoa; Chordata; Mammalia; Rodentia; Muridae.
UGCAGCUUCCGUUUCCUGUGACUGA